RNAcentral lists this long non-coding RNA (1249 nucleotides) under Toxoplasma gondii VEG. Lineage: Eukaryota; Apicomplexa; Conoidasida; Eucoccidiorida; Sarcocystidae. The record is from RNAcentral.
CUUGCUGUGAACCUCAUUGCGUGCUGCACGCACUAAAGCCGGUAUACGAGUGCCUCGUCCUUCGGAAUGCACACUGCUGUUGUUCGAUGACAAUUCCUAGAGGCAAUCUCCAGAACUUUCGCCUUCGUACCUUUUGGUUUGCUCGAGUGCGCGACAACGGUUGCCCUCAUACAAGAGUUGUAAGAUGGCGUGAACCACCAGUAGUAAACGACGCCACCUCGGAACGCAGCAAAUCGUGCUUUCGAUACAGUUAAUUCGAAUGGAAAGGGUUAGAGAAGAACUUCAGCGUCUUCCGAAAAGCCGCGAAAACGGCGAGGGGCUACGGCCUUCAGCGUUUUGUGAACGUUCAACGUGUGUCGCCCCGCUCGUUGUACGCUUAAGAUCAUCGAAUAUAACGGUGUGCUCCUGAAUGUAACGGCACAAACUUAAACUGAGGACUCGAGAAGGUUCGGCGUUAAAAGUAAUUCCAUCAAAAACCGAUGGUUUGUUAGCACUUAUGUCAUCUCUGUACGCAUACAGCCAUUUGGAGCAACCCCCCUGAAGUGAGCAGACCCUUAAACCAGAUGAAUUCAUCCAUGAACACUUCCGGGUAAAGCCGACGAUGUUCAAAAUUUUCGUGCCUCCAUGGUCUGCCAGUUUUUCUCGGAAUUAUCAUGCUCAAGGCUGCACAGUUACCAGCGGAAACUGCUACACAGAGAAGACGUAGCUGGCGGAUAAAAGGAAAGUCGGGGGGACCGCUGCUUCCACGCAGUAUCUUUCGAUGAAUCCGUUCCUUGAGCGGCACAUUCCUAUUCCAUUUUAUAUUUCAGUUGUUCAUCACUAAGAUGAAGACGAGGCCGCUCGUGUUUUUGCGUCCAUCUACGGAUGUUAGCGGCAUCAUUGUCUUGAGGCACCGUUCUCAGCGUAGGAGACACCUGGUGAACAAGAGUGCGUGAAAUUUCAGAAAAGUGUCUGAAUUGAACGAUGCUCUGUGCAAACAGUGGCUGUGCAGGUUUCUCCAAGAAACCACCACUGAGGGUGCGUUUGUGCUCGGCUGUUUGUGUGUGAAGGGAAUUGCUGGGUGAGACUACUAGGAAGUUCCUUUCCUGGUGGUCUGUUUUGCCUUUUUUUUUAGUUUGAGGAUUCGCAUUUGUUGUACUCUAUAGAGUGAUGUUCUCGAAACCGUGCUCACACAGCAGUACCCAAGAUCUAAUCAGGUGUCCGACUCUCAGUCUGUACUCUCCAGAAAACGGUUAUAAAAACCCUUGAC